UUAUAAUUAAAAAAAGUAGCAUAGCGCUAUAUUCUUGGAAUUUCAUACAAAUGAUAUUACCCCUCAGUUGGGCAAUGUAACCGAGGAAUAUUACAAUUAAAAGAAGGAUAUUUGAAAAUAUUAUUUAUAUAAUUCAAAAUAAAUAAAUAAAGCAAAAAGGGAGACGUUCUAUUUGAGAAAAUGUAACACUUGGUUCCUA
This 199-nucleotide long non-coding RNA is filed under the name Lathyrus oleraceus (garden pea). Its description in RNAcentral is "Pisum sativum (pea) long non-coding RNA (PSAT_LNC003057)". The record is from RNAcentral. Lineage: Eukaryota; Viridiplantae; Streptophyta; Magnoliopsida; Fabales; Fabaceae.